RNAcentral lists this ribosomal RNA (472 nucleotides) under uncultured bacterium. Its description in RNAcentral is "bacterial SSU rRNA". It matches the Rfam family "Bacterial small subunit ribosomal RNA", at positions 355 to 825 of the family's 1533-position model. The record is from RNAcentral.
UGGGGAAUUUUGGACAAUGGGCGCAAGCCUGAUCCAGCCAUACCGCGUGAGUGAAGAAGGCCUUCGGGUUGUAAAGCUCUUUCAGACGGAAAGAAACGGUCGCGGCCAAUACCCGCGACUAAUGACGGUACCGUAAGAAGAAGCACCGGCUAACUACGUGCCAGCAGCCGCGGUAAUACGUAGGGUGCGAGCGUUAAUCGGAAUUACUGGGCGUAAAGCGUGCGCAGGCGGUUUGGUAAGACAGGUGUGAAAUCCCCGGGCUUAACCUGGGAACUGCAUUUGUGACUGCCAGACUAGAGUGUAGCAGAGGGGGGUAGAAUUCCACGUGUAGCAGUGAAAUGCGUAGAUAUGUGGAGGAAUACCGAUGGCGAAGGCAGCCCCCUGGGCUAACAUUGACGCUCAUGCACGAAAGCGUGGGGAGCAAACAGGAUUAGAUACCCUUGUAGUCCCUGAGCGGGCUGGCAAGGCGCAU